UGGUCAAGUUAUUAAGGGUGCAGGGCGGAUGCCUUGGCACUAGGAGCCGAUGAAGGACGUGAUAAGCUGCGAUAAGCUUCGGGGAGUUGCACGUAAACUUUGAUCCGAAGAUUUCCGAAUGAGGAAACUCACUUAGAGUAAUGUCUAAGUAUCAUUAAGUGAAUACAUAGCUUAAUGAGGGGAACUCAGGGAACUGAAACAUCUAAGUACCUGAAGGAAGAGAAAGAAAU
RNAcentral lists this ribosomal RNA (230 nucleotides) under Clostridioides difficile. Its description in RNAcentral is "partial 23S ribosomal RNA". It matches the Rfam family "Bacterial large subunit ribosomal RNA", at positions 1 to 229 of the family's 2925-position model. Lineage: Bacteria; Bacillati; Bacillota; Clostridia; Peptostreptococcales; Peptostreptococcaceae. The record is from RNAcentral.